Solanum pennellii is the source of this 5816-nucleotide long non-coding RNA. RefSeq lists it as uncharacterized. The record is from RefSeq and is a predicted model, not a curated record. Lineage: Eukaryota; Viridiplantae; Streptophyta; Magnoliopsida; Solanales; Solanaceae. The transcript is spliced from 5 exons.
CCCAGCCCACUCUUUCCACACUUGACCCAACCCACAUCCAUUCUCCCCUCACAAAUCAAGAGAUCUAGAAAAUGCAUCAAAGCAAAUUAGAGAAACGGCGUGCUUCGCUUACACACGCGUGAAAACGAAGCAAACCAGAUGCCAUUGUCGUCUUCUAUAAAUGUCGCUCUCAACUCUUACUUGCAGCAGCAAAGCAAGUUUUGUUUUCAUCCUUGCAACCAUGAGAUGAAUGCACGUCGACGCCAAGGACAUGGGAAUCCAUCUUAAGAGUCCAUCCCCCUUCCUCUUACGAAAUGGGGUCUAAGAUUUUGGAAAAGUUUCGUUCGCGAUAAGAGAUUUUGCUUGGUUCUUUACUGUUGCUCGCAUCCGUGCUUGUUUGGAGGAGCUGGUUUGCCUGCUUCGUCACUGUCUCCAUUUUUCUGCGCGGAAAAAGGUGAUGAAUGACACGUCUCAAUAACACUCAACAUCUCAACCUCAGGCGCACAUCGACGAAUAAUGCCAAUAGCACAACUAUGAUACAGAUUCAUUGCAGUAUUCAUCAUCUAUAGGAUUGGAACUACAUUUAACCUGAUUACUGGAUCAAUGGGAUAUGUAGGCGCCACGAUGGUUCGAUCAUAAUGCCCAGUGUGAUUUUUCUUUCUCCUUGUAAUAAACACCAGGAAAGAAUUUUUCAUAAUAUCUCAAAAAUUCACAAUAAAGAUGGAAUAUCAUUUUUGAGAUUCGCCAAAAUUUUAACUAGGAUAGAAUUUUUAAGGAAGACCUCAAAAAUUCCAAUAAAUAUUGUGAGAAGAUUGAUAGCAACUUCAAAAAUCCUGCAGCACUUGAAGCUCAAAGUCAACUUGCAAAUCUUCAGUGCUGUCAUGGAACACGCGAAAGCAUUAGGGCGAUGAAGCUUUCAAGAUAAAGGAGUCAUCCACCUCGUAACAGUAGAAAAUCAUUGGGUCAUCCAUCAAUUGCAUUUUCAUUGCAUUUUUAUUUCCAAUAGGGCAAUUGCAUUUUUUGUUUAAUAAAAAGGUCAUGCAUUUUUCAUUUACCAAAAGGGUAAUUGCAUUUUUGUUUGCCGAGAGGGCCGCUGCAUUUUUUUUUAUCGAUAAGGUCAUUGCAUUUUUAUUUGCCAAGAGGGCCAUUGCAUUUUUUAUUUAAUAAAAAGGGUCAUUGCAUUUUUCAUUCACCAAGAAGGUUAUUUCAAUUAAGUUGCAUCUAUUCGAUGGUGAAGGAUGUGCACCAUAUCUUUUCAACGUUCAAGUCGGUGGAAACUUGCGUUGAAAAAUAUUUGUAUUUAAGUCGCAUCUAUUCGGUGGUGAAGGAUGUGCACCAUAUCUUUUCAACGUUCUAGUUGGUGGAAACUUGCGUCGAAAGAUAUUUGCAUUUAAGUCGCAUCUAUUCGGUGGUGAAGGAUAUGCAUCCUAUCUUUUCAACGUUUAAGUCGACGGAAACUUGCGUUGAUGGAUAUUUACAUUUAAGUCGUAUCUAUGGUGAAGGAUGUGCACCAUAUAUUUUCAAUGUUCAAGUCGGUGAAAACUUGCGUUGAAAGAUAUUUUUAUUUAAGUUGCAUCUAUUUGGAGGUGAAGGAUGUGAACCUUAUCUAUUAAAUGUUCAAUUCGGUGGAAACUUGUGUUGAAAGAUAUUUGCAUUUAAGUCGCAUCUAUUCGUUGGUGAAGAAUGUGCACCAUAUCUUUUCAACGUUCAAUUGGUUUACACUUGCGUUGAAAGAUAUUUUCAUUCAAGUCUCAUCUAUUCGAUGGUGAAGGGUGUGGAACAUCUCUUUUCAACGUUCAAGUCGGUGGAAACUUGAGUUAAAGGAUAUUUACAUUUAAGUCGCAUCUAUUCAGUUGUGAAGGAUGUGCACCAUAUCAUUUCAACGUUCAAGAUGGUGGAAACUUGCGAUGAAAGUUAUUUGCAUUUAAGUCGCAUCUAUUCGGUGGUGAAGGAUAUACAUCCUAUCUUUUCAACGUUUAAGUCGAUGGAAACUUGCGUUGACAGAUAUUUGCAUUUAAGUCGUAUCUAUGGUGAAGGAUGUGCACCAUAUAUUUUCAAUGUUCAAGUCGGUGAAAACUUGCGUUGAAAGAUAUUUUUAUUUAAGUUGCAUCUAUUUGGAGGUGAAGGAUGUGAACCUUAUCUAUUAAAUGUUCAAUUCGGUGGAAACUUGUGUUGAAAGAUAUUUGCAUUUAAGUCGCAUCUAUUCGUUGGUGAAGAAUGUGCACCAUAUCUUUUCAACGUUCAAUUGGUUUACACUUGCGUUGAAAGAUAUUUUCAUUCAAGUCUCAUCUAUUCGAUGGUGAAGGGUGUGGAACAUCUCUUUUCAACGUUCAAGUCGGUGGAAACUUGAGUUAAAGGAUAUUUACAUUUAAGUCGCAUCUAUUCAGUUGUGAAGGAUGUGCACCAUAUCAUUUCAACGUUCAAGAUGGUGGAAACUUGCGAUGAAAGUUAUUUGCAUUUAAGUCGCAUCUAUUCGGUGGUGAAGGAUAUACAUCCUAUCUUUUCAACGUUUAAGUCGAUGGAAACUUGCGUUGACAGAUAUUUGCAUUUAAGUCGUAUCUAUGGUGAAGGAUGUGCACCAUAUAUUUUCAAUGUUCAAGUCGGUGAAAACUUGCGUUGAAAGAUAUUUUUAUUUAAGUUGCAUCUAUUUGGAGGUGAAGGAUGUGAACCUUAUCUAUUAAAUGUUCAAGUCGGUGGAAACUUGUGUUGACAGAUAUUUGCAUUUAAGUCGCUUCUAUCCGUAGGUGAAGGUUGUGCACCCUAUCUUUUCAACGUUCAAGUAGGUGGAAACUUGCGUUGAAAGAUAUUUGUUUUUAAUGCAUCUAUGCGAUGGUGAAAGAUGUGCACCCUUUCUAUUUAACGUUCAAGUUUGUGGAAACUUGCAUUGAAAGAUAUUUGCAUUUAAGUCGCAUCUAUUCGGAGGUAAAGGAUGUGCACCCUAUCUAUUUCACGUUCAAGUCGGAGGAGACUUGCGUCGAAAGAAUUUUGUUCGUCCUACCGAUGGACAUACAUUCAAAAUUCUACUGACAGAUCUUUCUUUUUCAUUCGUCCUACCGAUGGACACACAUUCAAAAUCCUACAGAUGGAUCAUCUUUUUUUAAUUAUUCGUCCUAAUGAUGAGCAUACAUUAAAAAUCUCGUCGAUGGAUCAUUUUUUCUCAUUCGUCCGGUCGAUGGACAUACAGUUAAAAUCCUACCAAUGAAUUAUCUUUUUUUUUUCAUUAGUCCUACCAAUGGACAUACAUUUAAAAUCCUACCGAUGGAUUAUUUUUUUCAUUCGUCCUACAGAUGAAAAUACAUGAAAAUCCCUACCAAUGGAUCAUCUUUUUCUUAUUCGUCCUACCGAUGGGCAAACAUGUAAAAUCCUACCGAUGGAUCAUCAAUUUUUUCUUUCUUUUUUCAUUUGUUCUACCGAUGGACAUACAUUCAAAUCCUUCCGAUAUAUCAUCUUCAUUCGUCCUACCAAUGGACAUGUAUUUAAAUCAUAUCGAUGGAUCAUCUCUAUUCAUCUUAGCAUAAGAGAUGCUACCCUUUUUCUUUUAGUUUUGUCUAUACAAAUGAGUCUAAUCUUUGUUUUCUUAGAACAUCCCAGAGGAUGCACUCUCAGUGGAGCCAUAUGUGCGGACACUUCAACAAGGACGCAACAACGCGAAACCUUUUAGAUGCAAGUUGGAGAUCGACUUCCACUACAUUUCAACCACACUUUUUAACAAAAGUCAUGUGUUCGGUCAAAAUUGGCUUUGGCCACGAUUUCUUUCUUCAAUCAUAUCCAACGAAAGGAAAAACUGUUGACGCUCAAUUUUGGCCUAACAUUUUCAAAAUUCAUAAUUUUUAAGUUUGUUUAUUUCAUAGUUCAAAAUAUAUAUCUUUUAUGAUUUAACAUAAGUUUAUCGAUAACUAUCUUAUUCGUCAAAAUUUAGGAUUUUUUAUUAGUUAAUCUUAAUUACAUUAUUUUUCAUAGCCGAUUGAAUAAAUUCAAUUUUUUUUUAUUUUGAUUAAAUCAUUAUUUUUUCUAAAUUCAUUUCAUUAGUCACGUUACUAUAUAUAUUUAUAUUCAUUUUAUUCGUUAUAUUUGUUUCUAUAUUUUACAAAAUCUAAAAAAUCAUUUAAAUGUUACUGGUGAAUUUUCCAUACGGAGAUUGAUCAAUAAUUUUGGGCCACAACUCAAAUGCCACACAUUUGGGUCCAUUGCAUUUUUUCUAUUAGGUUUAGUUUUGGUCAAAAAUAGAAGGUGGUGGCUAAAUGUUAGGGGUAUUCUCAGAUUUUUGGGAUUGAAGAGACUUUUUAUUAUUCCUUAUUUUCUCGGCCGGAGUUCCGUCGGAAUCGGGUGUCCACCACCAAAACCCCCAUUUUUUUCUCCCAUUUUUCUCCAGCAAACAAAGACCAUACUCAAACCAAACUCGUUAGCUCUUUCCGACUGCCAUCCGACCAUAACAGCACUCAAAAACAUUUUUACGACACCACCAGUGCUCCAGACCACCAUCUCUUCUGGCAAGCUCGUUGCGGGAGCAAGACACCGCAUCACCAUCUAGACCACCCUUUCCUCCGGCAAACAACCACCUAAUCCUCCAUCUCCUCCACGUUUUCCACUCCUUUCAACAGCUAGAACAACAAGCCAAAACAACCACUCAAACUCCAUUUUCAACCAUUCCUCCACCUCCAAAUCAGACCUCGAAACCCCAACCUUUUCUAGCCUUUUCUUGCUACAAUUAACGAACCUGAGAGCUCGGAACUCGUGAAACCACCGGCUAGUCUCUUUAACUCUGUCCCCUUUAUGAUUUUGAUUUAGUUUGUAGGUAUUCCGGCCACCGCCAAGCGAACUCAGUGAGCUUCAAAGUUGUGGUUAACAAAUUAAAACCCUCCAGCAAAAAUGGAGCUAAAGAAGCCAUUAACGGCAAGCUCGAGGCUCUAGACUUCUACUCCGGUGAGCUGAACCAAAUAUCUUCAAGAUCGUGAGCCAAACCAGCCAGUCGCAAACUCAUCCUGUCCAACUCCAAAUCCAUAUGAACCAACAAUUCCAUUUCCAACAAGGCUUGCUAUCCCGAUAAGGUUCUGUAAUGACCCGAAAAAUUAUUUUUUUUGAAAUUCCUAUAAAAAUUAGUGUUUUACCCCUCUUUAUAAUUGUUCGGAGUAAUUUUUUGUUAGUCGGUGAAAUUGAUUGGAAAAUUUUAAAUUAGUCGAUAGCUACGGUAAUUUAAUAAAUUAUAUAUUAAAUAAUUUAUUUAUUUAGUUGGUGGUUAAUGAGCAAUCUCAUAAUUAAUUUAAUACUUAUACUAUUUUACUCAUAUAUUAAAAUAAGUUACUAGGAUUUAUUACUUUUUGCAUAUAAUUAAUCUAGAAAAGAAAAGAUAGAAAGGAUGAACGAAAAACUCACCUGCGGCACGGCGUAGGAGCAGCAACUAUCAGGAAUGAAUUGUAUCUCCAAAUUUAGUGAUUUCACAAUCAAAGGAUUAGGCGAGAGAACAAACAUGUUGCAUUGGCAUUAACGAGGUUACAAGCCCGGACCUUUGUGAUAUAUUCUCUUAUAAUCCGAGGCUUCUUGGAGAUUUGCGAGGUAGUUGUUUGUUAUCUCAGCAGACCUUCUUACUCCUGUUUAUGAUUUUGUUCUACUCUAGAAACAAUGUCAUAUGAGACUUACAUUUUUUUUUUAAAUUCAAUUGUAAUACUUUAGAGGCUUGUACACGUGACAACCAAAUUUUGGGGUAAUCUAGAGUUUAUUAUAAAGAUUCCACAUUUUAUUCUAAUAGUUGAGUUUUAGGCUGACUUAUCUUGGUGGAAUAAAAUGAGUGCCAUCACAUCCGUUUUUGGGUCGUGACAGGUUCACUAUUUCUUUCUUUA